GCCAGACUGCGGUCGCGGGGUCAGUGGCGGGGCGCUGUCGUGGCUCUUCUGCUUUGACGUUAUCAGAGUGGAGCAGCGCCUGGGCCCGGGGCUCCUCCUGCUCCCACCAGAUCUCUAAGUUCGGGCAGAACCUGAAUGAACUCAGGGCUGUGACUGACUUUAACACCUUUCAGUGGACCACUGAGAGCUGAGUCCAUGCUGCUGAAAGAAGGGCCCUGUGGAUAUUCACUCUGUAGCCCUCAGGACAUCAUACCUAGCUGUUUAUGCAUCUGAACUUGGGUCUCUGCUGCCAAACUGGAAUUGGAGCAGCGGGAAGGUCUGGAAUGAGGUUCUGCUUGGUCCCAGAGAAGACCCACUCACUGCUUCUCCAUCAUGUCCACCUGCAGUUCGAAACCUUUGCACUGAUCAUCUUCCAUGCGCUGUUGAGAUCUGCCUUUCAGAAGCCUUUCUGCAGUCUCAUGAAUGGAUGGACACACUCUGACUUCCUCUCCCACAGAUGCUACCUCUCUCCAGGCGUAUCAUGGCUCCUGCAGCCAUGUCUGGCCUCCACAGAACACUCAGCACAGAGUUACCAAAGUAGGAGUUCAGGAAAUACCUUUGAAUGA
Molecule: long non-coding RNA, 605 nt
Filed under: Felis catus (domestic cat)
Lineage: Eukaryota; Metazoa; Chordata; Mammalia; Carnivora; Felidae
Description: lncRNA (ENSFCAG00000046727.2)
Source: RNAcentral